ACUUCUUCUCGAUUUCACCAGUACUGCUUAAUCAAUAAUUGAAAUAAUCUCUUUGUUUUUUAUUUCCAAAAGCGGAUUAUGAAAUGUAUGUUGAAAAUACUGAACACCAAAAACCCUUAAAGUACUUCUGUCUACCUGAUCGAAGAAAACUAAGAUCACUUCAACGAUUGAUGACAUGUAAAUGUCCAAAUAUUGUGAUCGAGAACGUGAAUAGAAUAACUAUUCGCCAAAAAGGAAAUGGAUCAUUGAAAAUAUUUGAUGUUAAACCAAUAGGAAUAUCUCCUUUGAGUCAAACGAUGGUACUGAAUUAUACGGAUUCCGAAGCCUUAGACGGCAACUUGGACACAUAUUACCAUUCAAUAGAAAUCACCCAGGCCUCCUGGUUCCUGAAAUUGGAUAAAAGCUAUGCGAUGAAAUGGAUGCUUUUAUCAGUCAGGGGAAGUAAAUGUUUGAUAAGUCAUUAUAAGUAUACUUGUUCAAAUGAGAGGGAUUCACAGCGGAUGUAACCGGUCGAAAAGGAAUGUUUACUCCUCCUCCUCCUUCGCACUUGACCCCACUUUUGAUAUCUCGAGGAGUAUGUGUUUAUCAUGUUCUCUAAUGUUGAUGAGAGAUAAGAUAUUUGAGAUUGAUCACCAAUUGUUGUAUUCAAUUCCUUGUAACCAAUCAAGCGUAAAACAUGAUUUUCAUAUGACCUUCGAAAUUUCACAAGUUUCGUUCGAUUCAAAUGUAUAAAGCUCACGGCGGGUGUGACUGGUUGACAGGUACCCCAUUUCUGGUAUAUCGAGCAGUUUGUGUUUGCCAAACUAACUAGUUUGUAUUGUUUAUAAGAUUGAUGAGAUUGAUCACUGUUCGUUAUCUUCACCCUUCAUUCAUUGAAUUGACCUGAAUUUUCUCAAUAUGUUGUAAUCCCAUUGUGAUCUGGGUUGGAAAGGUCCUUGCUACACCUUGCUCUAAAAUAUAAGACACCAUGUCAAAGCAGGUGUAUCAAGUUAAAGAUCCCUCCCUGCUCAAAUUCCAUAAGAGCAGUGCAUAGAGUUGAAUUUUUAGCACUUCACUGGCAAUGGUGAUGUUUUAAUGUGAGUGAUAUUGUUUUCGAGAGGGACCUUAAACAAUAUGCCAUUUAUCAAUCAAUAUCCUAUAAUGAAAAAAAAAGGAUUUUAAGGAACAGUGAUCAAUUUCCUAAAUACUAUAAAGAAUAUGAAAUAUAGAGCAGGUCAAAUACAGACCCCUUGCUGUUUCAGCAAUAGUCAUAUCAUGUCAUAACAUUGCCUUUGUAGGGCUCAGAAUUACAACUGUAUUUUAAACGAAA
This is a long non-coding RNA of Ostrea edulis (European flat oyster), 1309 nucleotides long. RefSeq lists it as uncharacterized. Lineage: Eukaryota; Metazoa; Mollusca; Bivalvia; Ostreida; Ostreidae. The transcript is spliced from 2 exons. The record is from RefSeq and is a predicted model, not a curated record.